This 498-nucleotide ribosomal RNA is filed under the name uncultured bacterium. RNAcentral describes it as "partial 16S ribosomal RNA". It matches the Rfam family "Bacterial small subunit ribosomal RNA", at positions 28 to 507 of the family's 1533-position model. The record is from RNAcentral.
GACGAACGCUGGCGGCGUGCCUAAUACAUGCAAGUCGAACGAGAGCGCCCGGUGCUUGCACUGGUCAAUCUAGUGGCGAACGGGUGAGUAACACGUGGGUAACCUGCCCAUCAGAGGGGGAUAACAUCCGGAAACGGAUGCUAAAACCGCAUAGGUCUUCGAACCGCAUGGUUUGAAGAGGAAAAGAGGCGCAAGCUUCUGCUGAUGGAUGGACCCGCGGUGCAUUAGCUAGUUGGUGAGGUAACGACUCACCAAGGCCGUGAUGCAUAGCCGACCUGAGAGGGUGAUCGGCCACAUUGGGACUGAGACGCGGCCCAAACUCCUACGGGAGGCAGCAGUAGGGAAUCUUCCGCAAUGGACGCAAGUCUGACGGAGCAACGCCGCGUGAGUGAAGAAGGUUUUCGGAUCGUAAAACUCUGUUGUUAGAGAAGAACAAGUGCUAGAGUAACUGUUAGCGCCUUGACGGUAUCUAACCAGAAAGCCACGGCUAACUACGUG